UGGGGAAUAUUGGACAAUGGGCGGAAGCCUGAUCCAGCCAUGCCGCGUGUGUGAAGAAGGCCUUUUGGUUGUAAAGCACUUUAAGCGAGGAGGAGGCUCUUCUAGUUAAUACCUAGGAUGAGUGGACGUUACUCGCAGAAUAAGCACCGGCUAACUCUGUGCCAGCAGCCGCGGUAAUACAGAGGGUGCGAGCGUUAAUCGGAUUUACUGGGCGUAAAGCGUGCGUAGGCGGCUGAUUAAGUCGGAUGUGAAAUCCCUGAGCUUAACUUAGGAAUUGCAUUCGAUACUGGUCAGCUAGAGUAUGGGAGAGGAUGGUAGAAUUCCAGGUGUAGCGGUGAAAUGCGUAGAGAUAUGGAGGAAUACCGAUGGCGAAGGCAGCCAUCUGGCCUAAUACUGACGCUGAGGUACGAAAGCAUGGGGAGCAAACAGG
This 430-nucleotide ribosomal RNA is filed under the name Pseudomonadota bacterium. RNAcentral's name for it is "Proteobacteria bacterium partial 16S ribosomal RNA". It matches the Rfam family "Bacterial small subunit ribosomal RNA", at positions 355 to 776 of the family's 1533-position model. Lineage: Bacteria; Pseudomonadati; Pseudomonadota. The record is from RNAcentral.